Molecule: long non-coding RNA, 267 nt
Filed under: Paramuricea clavata
Lineage: Eukaryota; Metazoa; Cnidaria; Anthozoa; Malacalcyonacea; Plexauridae
Source: RNAcentral
GAUUUGUUGCAGUGUAUGUUGUUUAAACAAAUUUGCCAUCUACAGCCAGGGACGCCGGAACUGGGGGGGCAGGGGGGGUGGCUGCCCCCCUUGCUUUUUGCUAGGGGGGGGGCAGAAGUGCCCUUUUAGUUGUAAAAUAAUACGUGAUAAAUCACAUUUGCAACGAUGCUUUUUGUAGAAAAAUCACGAGAUUCAGGUAAUUUAUAGUUUAUAUUUAUAAAAAUUUUGGGAAAUUUUUGGAAUUUAGAAAAAUAUUUUGAAGAAAUG